RNAcentral lists this long non-coding RNA (435 nucleotides) under Homo sapiens (human). Its description in RNAcentral is "HSALNT0089333". The record is from RNAcentral. Lineage: Eukaryota; Metazoa; Chordata; Mammalia; Primates; Hominidae.
GGAGCACUGAACUGGGUGAGGAACCGAAUAUACAGGGAAUCUUCAAAGCCUGCUAGCAGAGAUGAAUAAGGCUGAAGAAGCAAGUCCCUGGAGAGAAAGGAAGAGAUGAGAGAGACCCCCAAGUUGUGUGAUCACCUCCAGCACACUGGAGACUGAGCCGUUUCACAAGGUGUCAAACCUACAUUGCAGCCUGAAGGAUGUCUUCACUUCCUCCUGCUCCUUCGCCUUAAGAAAUUUCAAUAGGAAGAAUAAAAAAGGUUUUCAACAGCUCUCCACUGCUCUCAGGACAAAGUCCAAACUCCUCCUCACAGCAAGUAAGUUUUUGCGGUGUGGCCCCCUUGUGACUCUUCAGUUUCACAUUCUGCCUCACUUGGUGCACUCUCUCCUCCAGCUCCACUGAUGGCUGGCAGCUCCCUGUACAUGCCAUGCACCCCC